RNAcentral lists this ribosomal RNA (420 nucleotides) under uncultured bacterium. Its description in RNAcentral is "bacterial SSU rRNA". It matches the Rfam family "Bacterial small subunit ribosomal RNA", at positions 355 to 774 of the family's 1533-position model. The record is from RNAcentral.
UAAGGAAUAUUGCUCAAUGGGAGAAAUCCUGAAGCAGCAACGCCGCGUGGAGGAUGAAGGGUCUAUGACUUGUAAACUCCUGUAAAGAAGGAAAAAAUUCCCAUUAGAUGGGAGAUGAUGGUACUUCUGGAGUAAGCCCCGGCUAACUACGUGCCAGCAGCCGCGGUAAUACGUAGGGGGCAAGCGUUGUCCGGAUUUACCGGGUGUAAAGGGUGCUCAGGCGGAUUUGUAAGUCAGAGGUGAAAUCUUACAGCUUAACUGUGAAACUGCCUUUGAUACUGCAAGCCUAGAGUAUGGAAGAGAGUGAUGGAAUAUCUGGUGUAGCAGUGAAAUGCGUAGAUAUCAGAUAGAACACCAAUGGCGAAGGCAGUCACUUGGUCCAUUACUGACGCUAAAGCACGAAAGCGUGGGUAGCAAACA